CCUACGGGAGGCAGCAGUGGGGAAUAUUGCACAAUGGGGGAAACCCUGAUGCAGCGACGCCGCGUGAGUGAAGAAUUAUUUCGGUAUGUUAAGCUCUAUCAGCAGGGAAGAAAAUGACGGUACCUGAUUAAGAAGCCCCGGCUAACUACGUGCCAGCAGCCGCGGUUAUACGUAGGGGGCAAGCGUUAUCCGGAUUUACUGGGUGUAAAGGGAGCGUAGACGGCAGGACAAGUCUGGAGUGAAAUGCCGGGGCUUAACCCCGGAACUGCUUUGGAAACUGUGCAGCUAGAGUGCAGGAGAGGUAAGUGGAAUUCGUAGUGUAGCGGUGAAAUGCGUAGAUAUUAGGAGGAACACCAGUGGCGAAGGCGGAUUACUGGACUGUAACUGACGUUGAGGCUCGAAAGCGUGGGGAGCAAACAGGAUUAGAUACCCCAGUAGUC
Molecule: ribosomal RNA, 440 nt
Filed under: uncultured bacterium
Lineage: Bacteria
Description: partial 16S ribosomal RNA
Rfam family: Bacterial small subunit ribosomal RNA
Source: RNAcentral